GUUCCUCGCACGCUCUGAGGCGUGAGUGCAGCAGUUGAAAAGAGGAGGAAGAGCAGUCGCCGCAGCUGCACUGCCCUGAGCUGCUGUUAUUUGCAGGAUCUGAACAGUUUCACCACAGAAGACCUGACUUAAGCUGGCGCAGAUCUGGGUCUAAGAGAGGAGUGCACUGUAGGAGUGCAAGCCCCCAUUCCUUGGCCUGCAUGAGACAGGGUAUGGCUGUUAGCCCAAGCUGGCUUGGAGCUCACUAUAUAGUACAGGAAGCUUUGAAUUCGUCCUAGUCUUCCUGACUCAUCUUCUAAAUACUGGGACUAUGUGCGUGAGCCACCGUGCCCAUGAGCCACCGUGCCCGUGAGCCACCGUGCCCGUGAGCCACCGUGCCCGUGAGCCACCGUGCCCGUGAGCCACCGUGCCCGUGAGCCACCGUGCCCGUGAGCCACCGUGCCCGUGAGCCACCAAGCCCAUGGACCACCAAGCCCAUGAGCCACCGUGCCCAUGAGCCACCAAGCCCAUGAGCUACCAAGCCCAUGAGCCACCAAGCCCAUGGACCACCAAGCCCAUGGACCACCAAGCCCAUGGACCACCGUGCCCGUGAGCCACCGUGCCCGUGAGCCACCGUGCCCGUGAGCCACCGUGCCCGUGAGCCACCAAGCCCAUGGACCACCAAGCCCAUGAGCCACCGUGCCCAUGAGCCACCAAGCCCAUGAGCCACCAAGCCCAUGGACCACCAAGCCCAUGGACCACCAAGCCCAUGGACCACCAAGCCCAUGGACCACCAAGCCCAUGGACCACCGUGCCCGUGAGCCACCGUGCCCGUGAGCCACCGUGCCCGUGAGCCACCGUGCCCGUGAGCCACCGUGCCCGUGAGCCACCAAGCCCAUGGACCACCAAGCCCAUGAGCCACCAAGCCCAUGGACCACCAAGCCCAUGGACCACCAAGCCCAUGAGCCACCAAGCCCAUGGACCACCAAGCCCAUGGACCACCAAGCCCAUGGACCACCAAGCCCAUGGACCACCAAGCCCAUGAGCCACCGUGCCCAUGAGCCACCAAGCCCAUGGACCACCAAGCCCAUGAACCACCGUGCCCAUGAGCCACCGUGCCCAUGAGCCACCGUGCCCAUGAGCCACCAAGCCCAUGAGCCACCGUGCCCAUGAGCCACCGUGCCCAUGAGCCACCGUGCCCAUGAGCCACCAAGCCCAUGGACCACCAAGCCCAUGAACCACCGUGCCCAUGAGCCACCAAGCCCAUGGACCACCAAGCCCAUGAGCCACCGUGCCCAUGAGCCACCGUGCCCAUGAGCCACCGUGCCCAUGAGCCACCGUGCCCAUGAGCCACCAAGCCCAUGGACCACCAAGCCCAUGAGCCACCGUGCCCAUGAGCCACCAAGCCCAUGGACCACCAAGCCCAUGAACCACCGUGCCCAUGAGCCACCGUGCCCAUGAGCCACCAAGCCCAUGAGCCACCGUGCCCAUGAGCCACCGUGCCCAUGAGCCACUGUGCCCAUGAGCCACCAAGCCCAUGGACCACCAAGCCCAUGAACCACCGUGCCCAUGAGCCACCGUGCCCAUGAGCCACCGUGCCCAUGAGCCACCAAGCCCAUGAGCCACCGUGCCCAUGAGCCACCGUGCCCAUGAGCCACCGUGCCCAUGAGCCACCAAGCCCAUGGACCACCAAGCCCAUGAACCACCGUGCCCAUGAGCCACCAAGCCCAUGGACCACCAAGCCCAUGAGCCACCGUGCCCAUGAGCCACCGUGCCCAUGAGCCACCGUGCCCAUGAGCCACCAAGCCCAUGGACCACCAAGCCCAUGAGCCACCGUGCCCAUGAGCCACCAAGCCCAUGGACCACCAAGCCCAUGAACCACCGUGCCCAUGAGCCACCGUGCCCAUGAGCCACCAAGCCCAUGAGCCACCGUGCCCAUGAGCCACCGUGCCCAUGAGCCACCGUGCCCAUGAGCCACCAAGCCCAUGGACCACCAAGCCCAUGAACCACCGUGCCCAUGAGCCACCAAGCCCAUGGACCACCAAGCCCAUGAGCCACCGUGCCCAUGAACCACCGUGCCCAUGAACCACCGUGCCCAUGAGCCACCAAGCCCAUGGACCACCAAGCCCAUGAGCCACCGUGCCCAUGAGCCACCAAGCCCAUGAGCCACCAAGCCCAUGGACCACCAAGCCCAUGAGCCACCGUGCCCAUGAGCCACCGUGCCCAUGAGCCACAGUGCCCAUGAGCCACCAUGCCCAUGAGCCACCGUGCCCAUGAGCCACCAAGCCCAUGGACCACCAAGCCCAUGAGCCACCGUGCCCAUGAGCCACCAAGCCCAUGGACCACCAAGCCCAUGAGCCACCAAGCCCAUGGACCACCAAGCCCAUGGACCACCAAGCCCAUGAGCCACCGUGCCCAUGAGCCACCGUGCCCAUGAGCCACCAAGCCCAUGAGCCACCAAGCCCAUGAGCCACCGUGCCCAUGAGCCACCAAGCCCAUGAGCCACCAAGCCCAUGAGCCACCAAGCCCAUGAGCCACCGUGCCCAUGAGCCACUGUGCCCAUGAGCCACCGUGCCCAUGAGCCACAAAGCCCAUGAGCCACCAAGCCCAUGGAUCACCAAGCCCAUGAGCCACCAAGCCCAUGAGCCACCAAGCCCAUGGACCACCAAGCCCAUGAGCCACCGUGCCCAUGAGCCACAAAGCCCAUGGACCACCAAGCCCAUGGACCACCAAGCCCAUGGACCACCAAGCCCAUGGACCACCAAGCCCAUGGACCACCAAGCCCAUGGACCACCAUGUUCAGCCCAGGUUUCUUCCUUGUAACAAAAUACUUCUGAGAUUUGUCCAUAAUCUUCAUCAUAUAUUCCUUUAUAUUUUUAUCAUAUUUUAUUUAUUUGUUUAUUCACACAAAUGCAUAUGGGGUAUGUGUGUGUUUUUGCACAUGCACAUGCACAUAACUAUGGUCAGUAAAACUUUUAGCUUUCUAGAGUUGUUCUCCCUCUCUGUGUUCUAGGUGUCAAGCUCAGGUUGUAAGAUUUGGCAGCUGGGACCUUUAUCUGCUGAGUCAUCUCACUGGCCCUAAAUACCUUUUUAUUGCUGAAUAGUCUUCCAUUGGGUGAAAAUGCCAUGACUUGCCAUCCAUUCUUUUGUUGAUUCUUCUUUGUUUCCAAUUUGGGGAAUGCCUUCAAGUAUGUUUGUAUAUCCAGGAGCUUAGACAAUGAAGAUGGUGCCCCCAUUCAUUUGCAUUCAGAGUUAAUAAAGAUGGCAUCUUCCCUCAGUC
Apodemus sylvaticus (European woodmouse) is the source of this 3259-nucleotide long non-coding RNA. RefSeq lists it as uncharacterized. NCBI's taxonomy places the organism in Eukaryota, Metazoa, Chordata, Mammalia, Rodentia, Muridae. The transcript is spliced from 2 exons. The record is from RefSeq and is a predicted model, not a curated record.